AUUGAACGCUGGCGGCAUGCUUUACACAUGCAAGUCGAACGGCAGCGCGGGCUUCGGCCUGGCUGCGAGUGGCGAACGGGGGAGUAAUGCAUGGGAACGUCCCCAGUAGUGGGUGAUAGCCCGUCGAAAGCCGGAUUAAUACCGCAUACGACCUGAGGGUGUAAGCGGGGGAGCGAAGGGCCUUGCGCUAUUGGAGCGGCGGAUGUCGGAUUAGCUAGUUGGUGGGGUAAAGGCUUACCAAGGCGACGAUCCGUAGCUGGUCUGAGAGGACGAGCAGCCACACUGGGACUGAGACACGGCCCAGACUCCUACGGGAGGCAGCAGUGGGGAAUUUUGGACAAAGGGGGCAACCCUGAUCCAGCCAUGCCGCGUGCGUGAAGAAGGCCUUCGGGUUGUAAACCGCUUUUGUUGGGGAAGAAAUCCUCUGGGCUAAUACCCCGGGGGGAUGACGGUACCGGAAGAAUAAGCACCGGCUAACUACGUG
Molecule: ribosomal RNA, 484 nt
Filed under: uncultured bacterium
Lineage: Bacteria
Description: partial 16S ribosomal RNA
Rfam family: Bacterial small subunit ribosomal RNA
Source: RNAcentral